RNAcentral lists this ribosomal RNA (301 nucleotides) under uncultured bacterium. RNAcentral's name for it is "partial 16S ribosomal RNA". It matches the Rfam family "Bacterial small subunit ribosomal RNA", at positions 509 to 809 of the family's 1533-position model. The record is from RNAcentral.
CAGCCGCCGCGGUAAUACAGAGGGUGCGAGCGUUAAUCGGAUUUACUGGGCGUAAAGCGUGCGUAGGCGGCUUCUUAAGUCGGAUGUGAAAUCCCUGAGCUUAACUUAGGAAUUGCAUUCGAUACUGGGAAGCUAGAGUAUGGGAGAGGAUGGUAGAAUUCCAGGUGUAGCGGUGAAAUGCGUAGAGAUCUGGAGGAAUACCGAUGGCGAAGGCAGUUAUCUGGCCUAAUACUGACGCUGAGGUACGAAAGCAUGGGGAGCAAACAGGAUUAGAUACCCCCGUAGUCCCUGUCUCUUAUAA